CCUACGUGGGGCAGCAGUGGGGAAUAUUUGGCAAUGCGCGCAAGCCUGACCCAGCAACGCCGCGUGAAGGAAGAAGGCUUUCGGGUUGUAAACUCCUUUUGUCAGGGACGAAGCAAGUGACGGUACCUGACGAAUAAGCCACGGCUAACUACGUGCCAGCAGCCGCGGUAAUACGGAGGUGGCAAGCGUUAUGCGGAUUUACUGGGUGUAAAGGGCGUGUAGGCGGGACUGCAAGUCAGAUGUGAAAACCACGGGCUCAACCCGUGGCCUGAAUUUGAACCUGGAGUUCUUGAGUACUGGAGAGGCAGGCGGAAUUCGUGGUGUAGCGGUGAAAUGCGUAGAUAUCAGGAGGAACACCGGUGGCGAAGGCAGGUUGCUGGA
This 381-nucleotide ribosomal RNA is filed under the name uncultured bacterium. RNAcentral's name for it is "partial 16S ribosomal RNA". It matches the Rfam family "Bacterial small subunit ribosomal RNA", at positions 338 to 733 of the family's 1533-position model. The record is from RNAcentral.